AUUUCAAGGUUUAGGGUUUAGGGUUUAGAGUUGAUGUUUCAAGGUUUAGGGGUUAGAGUUGAUGAUUUAGGGUUUAAAGUUGAUGUUUUUAGUUUAGAUUUAGGGUUUACGUUUAGGGUUUAGAGUUGAUGUUUUAGUGUUUAGAUUUGAAGUUUUAGGGUUUAGAAUUUAGAGUUAUGUUUCGGGGUUUAGGGUUUAGAGUUAAUGUUUUAUGGUUUAGGGUUUAGAGUUUAUGAUUUAGGGUUUAGAAUUGAUGUUUUAAGUUUAGAUUAGUUAACAAUAUGUUUUUUUUUGUCAAAGGUAAUCAAAAGGUUAUAAAUGUCUUUUACUCUUCAUUAGUGUAAAUAUGAAAAGUGGUACUUUGAAAAUUGUAUUUUGGCAAUUUCCCUUCCGUUUUUUUUUUUUUUUUUUUAAUAAUAUUAUCAUUUGAUAUAAAAGCACGAAAAUUAGAAUAAGUAAAUAUACAAUAUAAGAAAAAUAAACAAUAGGUAAAAUACAAUUAAUUAAUUAAAAAAAACUAAAUUAAAAAUCUCUCUCAAAAAAUGUAUAGUAAAAUAAAUAAUAAGUAAAUAUACAAUAUAAUAAAUAGAAAUAUUAUAUUCAACAUCUAUCAUAAUAUUAGAAUAAGUAAAUAUACUAUAUAAGCAAAAUAAAAACAAAUCUGAAAAACAUACAUUAAAAUAAAUUAUAAGUAAAUAUACAAUAUAAGAAAUAAAAAUACUACAUUAAACAUUUAUAAAUAAUAUCACCAUUUGAUAUAAAAGCAAAAAAAAUAGAAUAAGUAAAUAUACAAUAUAAGAAAAAUAAAAAAUAGGUAAAAUACAAUUAAGAAUUGCAAAAACUACAUUAAACAUCAAUCUGAAAAAUGUAUUGUUUUACUUUUUUAUUAUUUAAAAUACAAUAAGUAAAUAUAAAUUUUAAAUAUAUACAAUAUGAGAAAGGAAAAACUAUAUCAAACAUCUAUCUCAAAAAUGUAUAGUUUUCUAAUUUUUUCUAAAGAAAUAUGUAUUCACACAAACAUACAAUUCAGAAUUUGUUGUUGUUCAGAAUACAACGUUCAAAAAAAUAACUAUAUGGUUAACAUUUGAAAAUAAAAAUAGUCCCGACCGUAGCGCGGAUUAACUCCUAGUCUUUAUAUAUAAAGAACAGUUUUCUCUAUCCUGGUGAAGACACCUAAGAUGCCAUGUCACAAAAUCAGGUUCUGUGAGUGUGACACGUGUCAUAGGAAACAAAACACAUCAUUUUAUUAAAACAGGUUUGAUGAGCUUCGAUCUGAUCACUGUCUGUUUACGUUUUGCGCUGUAAAAAUUAGAUGUUUUGCGGCCCGAGCAUAUGGAAUCAUGCGUAACCCUAAUUGUAAUGAAACGAGGAGAUGGAGAUAAUGUUAGAAACGCAACGUUUCUGAUUUUAUAAUUUCAUCGCUCUCUCCUCUCCGUCGUAGCGAUUCAAAGGUUUCUAUCGAUUUAUUCAUCUUCUUCCUGCCAAUCCAGAGAUCAAUCGGUUAUAGAUUCAUUCCUAUUAAAUUCCUUCUUAAUCCAUAGGCAGUGGAGGUUCAACUAUAAAAAGGUUAGCAUCCAUACACUAUGAAUCAUCCUAUCAAUCUACUUAUUUACUGAGAAAUGGCUCUCGAGUUUUCCUUUCAGUUUCUCUGGAUCAAUCAUUAUAGUCCCCAUAAAAUCUCUCACAGUGGCCGACUCAUCAAUUUUGCUAGCCGAGUUGAAAUCUGGGCAUUGCUGCAACACCGAAGUCUGAAUGUUGAGGCUCCUCCUUGACGAGAAGGUAAUUUCAGUGGACAUUAACUGUUUUUAGUGUUUUUAGGAGAAAGAAUGCAAACUUCUGGGUUGUUGAUCUUUAGGCCACCGCCUCAACACCUUCAGAUAGAUUUUUUAGGAAGGCUCAUUGUACUCUAUUAGUGGGUUUGACGUUCCAUGUAGCAAUGUUAACUUCAAGCUGUCGGACUCCAAUCUCUCCAUACGUUUCAGUGAUCAAACUGUCUUGCUGAGAUAACCGAACCGGCCAAUCCAAUACCCAUGUAGCUGUUCAGGUUCGGCAGUUAACAUCAGCUACUUGCUUUAGCAAACGUCAAUACUCAUCUUCCUGGGUACUCUCUCGGCCUCUGCUUCUAAAACAUAUAUUCUGUUUUUUUUGUGUGCAUCAAAUACCGCAAUGAACAAUAGGUACUUGCUGAUGCUGUCACUGCCAAUUAUUGUUUGGCAGACAUUUUCGGUGAAUUGACUGAGAUCAGAAGCACACUGAAUGAAGACUUACAGAGCAAAGUACGUGUGAUAGCGACUAUUAAAAUUCAGAGGUUAGUCUCGCUGUCCUAGGAAAACAUUUCUUCAUUGGAUUCCUCUAAGGAACACUAGAACGACCCAGAUUUGAUAUAAAAGCACGAAAAUUAGAAUAAGUAAAUAUACAAUAUAAGAAACAUAAAUAUUACGUUAAAAAUCUAUCAUAAUAUUAUCAUUUGGUAUAAAAGCAAGAAAAUUAGAAUAAGUAAAUAUAUAAUUACACAAUAUAAAAAAUAGAAAUAUUAUAUAAAAUAUUUAUCGUAAUAUUAGAAUAAGUAAAUAUAAAAUUCAAUAAAUAAUAAGUAAAUUUAGUAUAUAAAAAAUAAAAAUAUUACAUUAAAUAUAUAUCGUAAUAUUAUCAUUGAUAUAAAAGCAAAAAAUUUAUCAAAAAUUUUUAUUACUGUAUAUAAAAGGGAUACCCUUUGAAAAAUGUAAGAACUAUGUCAAAAACUAUAACACACAUGGAUUUGGGAUAUCUUUCUUGAGUUACACUGUAAUAUUUUUUGUACAGAAAAGGAGAUAUAUUAUAAAUAUUAACUGACCAAAAAUAUAAAAUAAAGAUAGAAAACUUAUGCAGUGAAAAAAAAUUGUUUUCAAGCUUUGUUGCAACUACUGAAUAUCCAGCCAAAGUUUAUGCAGAAUCUCACUACGGGAUUAUGAUAAAUGUUUGGAUCAGCAAUGUCCUUCCAAUCUCACUUUUCAAAUUUUUAAUCUAUUAGUAUCGUAUGUUUUGACACAAAUUCUUUUAGUCAGUUAUAUUACAAGUUUCAUAAAAAAAAAUCAAAUAUGGUAUAAUAAAACAAACAUAAUAUGAGUGUAGUAUACAAAAAGGUCAUUUAAGCAAAUUACAUGAUGAAUCCUCUUAGAUAUUUAAUAUGGUUCACAAAUAAAGUUUCAGAUUUUAUGAAAUUAAAAAAAAUUAAAAUGAUCUCAAAUGAGUUAAGGAGUUAUAUAAAAUAAAGAUAUUUAGAGAAGAAUAUUUAUAAUAUAGAUAAAAUAAAGAUAUAAAGAGGUAUGUCUAUAUGUUAGUCAAUAUUUUUAAUAUUAUAUAUAAAUAACACCUAAAACAAAUUAGUUUAAGAGAUAGCAUAAAAGAAUGUAAACAAAUUAUGAAUAUGUUUAUUUAGAAACUAAAUAUGUUUAUUUAGAAACUAAGAACAAUAAAAUUUUAAAACUUCUAAUAUUUAGACAAGUAAUCACGAGAUACAAUUAUAUAUAUAUAUAUAUAUAUAUAUAUAUAUAUAUAUCUGUUUUGAAUUUUCUAUCAUAAUUAUUAUAUCUUGUUUAAUUUUCUUACUUUAGUAAUGCAUUAUUCUUAUUCAGCCUCUACCAUAAAUACAAUUAAUAAAUUAUUUGGAAAUGUUGACUAAACUUUUAUGAGUUUAUUUAAAUUUUUAUCAAACAUUAUAAAACUACUAAUAAAUGACUCUUAGCAGUUUGACUAAAUUUUGGAGAAUUAAUUGAAAAGAUUUAUAAAGUUGACAAGCUAUCCCAACUAACUUCAAACGACUCAAGAGUCCACAAAAUUCUUAAACAAUUGACAUCAACACAAUAGUAACACAAGUAGUCUCUCUAGCUUUGACACAUCAACUUUUAAUUUUGGACGUUGUAUUCUGAACAACAACAAAAUUUUGAAUUAUACAUUUGUGUGAACACAUAUUUUCUUAGAAAAAACUAGAACACUAUACAUUUUUCAUAUAGAUAUUUGAUAUAGUUUUCUAUUUCUUAUAUUGUAUAUUUACCUAUUAUUUAAUUUUUAUUAUAUUGUGUAUUUCUAUUUCUUAUACUUUCUAUUUACUAAUAAUUUUAUAUUUUAAGAUUGAUUUACAUUUUAAGAUAGAUGUUUAAAUACUAAAUGAAUUUUGUUUAAUUAUAUAUAAGGUUCUUUUUUUUGUCGACAACAUUACACACUUAUAUUGACUCUGUAAACCACACCGUAAGAUGUUGAUCCAUGUGAACGACGAAAGACGUUUAUAUAUAACUAUAUAAGGUUCAUUAAGGGUAUUUUUUAAAAUUAAUAAAUUAGCGACUUAGCUAAAAACUAAUAAUAAAUCAAUGAUUUAGCUAAAACUUAAUAAAAACAUGACAAAUGAAAAAAUUACCUAAAAUUAUGGAGAAUAUGACAAAUCAGCAAAUUCACUUCUCAAAUAAUAGAAUAGAUUUGAAUAGAUUCUAAAUUCAAAUAUAAAUAUAAAGAAAACUAGGUGUUUUGACCGCACAUGCGGGCAUAACCAUCUUACGAAUACUUAUUAUAUUAUGGGAAAUUUCUAAAAUUACUAUUUUCAAAGUACCAUUUUUAAUGUUUACAGUAACCACUUUCACUCUUAUCUUUAAUGAAUGAUAAAAUACAUUUAUAACCUUUUGAUUACCUUUGACGAAAAAAACAUAAGGUUAACUAAUCUACACUUAAAACAUCAACUCUAAACCCUAAAUCAUCAACUCUAAACUUUAAACUACGAAACAUCAACUCUAAACCCUAAAUCCCGAAACAUCAACUCUAAACCCUAAACCUUCAAAUCUAAACCCUAAUACAUCAACUCUAAACCCUAAACGUAAACCCUAAACCCUAAAUCUGAACUUAAACAUCAACUUUAAACCCUAGAUCAUCAACUCUAAACCCUAAACUUUGAAACAUCAACUCUAAACCCUAAACCCAGAAACAUCAACUCUAAACCCUAAAUCCUAAAUCUUCAAAUCUAAACCCUAAAACAUCAACUCUAAACCCCAAACGUAAACCCUAAACCCUAUAUUUUUCUGAAAUCCGAACCCUAAACCCUAAGACCCUAAACCUUCAAAUCUAAGCCCUAAAACAUCAACUCUAAACCCUAAACGUAAACCCUAAACCCUAAAACCCUAAACUUUCAAAUCUACACCCUAAAACAUAAACUCUAAUUUUAGGGUUUAUGGUUUAUGGUUUAGGGUUUAGGGUUUAGGGUUUAGGGUUUAGGGUUUAGGGUUCAGAGUUG
This 5257-nucleotide long non-coding RNA is filed under the name Brassica napus (rape). RNAcentral describes it as "long non-coding RNA (BNAP_LNC018434)". The record is from RNAcentral. Lineage: Eukaryota; Viridiplantae; Streptophyta; Magnoliopsida; Brassicales; Brassicaceae.